This is a non-coding RNA of Podarcis lilfordi (Lilford's wall lizard), 68 nucleotides long. The record is from the annotation of a GenBank genome assembly. Lineage: Eukaryota; Metazoa; Chordata; Lepidosauria; Squamata; Lacertidae.
GGAAUUCAAGAGGUUAGAGCGUGGUGCUGGUAACACCAAGGUUGCAGGUUCGAUCCCUGUAUGGGACA